This 253-nucleotide ribosomal RNA is filed under the name uncultured bacterium. RNAcentral's name for it is "partial 16S ribosomal RNA". It matches the Rfam family "Bacterial small subunit ribosomal RNA", at positions 524 to 776 of the family's 1533-position model. The record is from RNAcentral.
GACGGAGGGUGCAAGCGUUGUUCGGAAUUACUGGGCGUAAAGGGCGCGUAGGCGGCCUGUUAAGUCCGGUGUGAAAGCCCCUGGCUCAACUGGGGAAGUGCGCCGGAUACUGGCAGGCUAGAGUACCGGAGAGGAGGGUGGAAUUCCUGGUGUAGCGGUGAAAUGCGUAGAUAUCAGGAGGAACACCGGUGGCGAAGGCGGCCCUCUGGACGAGUACUGACGCUGAUGCGCGACAGCGUGGGGAUCAAACAGG